RNAcentral lists this unclassified non-coding RNA (549 nucleotides) under Metschnikowia sp. JSKim-2014. RNAcentral's name for it is "partial contains 18S rRNA, ITS1, 5.8S rRNA, and ITS2". The stretch from base 199 to 352 matches the Rfam family "5.8S ribosomal RNA". The record is from RNAcentral. Lineage: Eukaryota; Fungi; Ascomycota; Pichiomycetes; Serinales; Metschnikowiaceae.
GCUGCGGAAGGAUCAUUAAAGAGUAAGGGUGCUCAGCGCCCGACCUCCAACCCUUUGUUGUUAAAACUACCUUGUUGCUUUGGCGGGACCGCUCGGUCUCGAGCCGCUGGGGAUUCGUCCCAGGCGAGCGCCCGCCAGAGUUAAACCAAACUCUUGUUAUUUAACCGGUCGUCUGAGUUAAAAUUUUGAAUAAAUCAAAACUUUCAACAACGGAUCUCUUGGUUCUCGCAUCGAUGAAGAACGCAGCGAAAUGCGAUAAGUAAUGUGAAUUGCAGAAUUCAGUGAAUCAUCGAAUCUUUGAACGCACAUUGCGCCCCUUGGUAUUCCGAGGGGCAUGCCUGUUCGAGCGUCAUUACACCACUCAAGCUAUGCUUGGUAUUGGGCGUCGUCCUUAGUUGGGCGCGCCUUAAAGACCUCGGCGAGGCCACUCCGGCUUUAGGCGUAGUAGAAUUUAUUCGAACGUCUGUCAAAGGAGAGGAACUCUGCCGACUGAAACCUUUAUUUUUCUAGGUUGACCUCGGAUCAGGUAGGGAUACCCGCUGAACUUAA